This 329-nucleotide ribosomal RNA is filed under the name uncultured eukaryote. Its description in RNAcentral is "partial 18S ribosomal RNA". It matches the Rfam family "Eukaryotic small subunit ribosomal RNA", at positions 1470 to 1796 of the family's 1831-position model. The record is from RNAcentral.
CCCUUAGAUGUUCUGGGCCGCACGCGCGCUACACUGGUGCGUUCAACAAGUUUACAACCUUGAUUGACAAGUCUGGGUAAUCUUUUGAAUGCGCACCGUGCUAGGGAUAGAUUAUUGCAAUUAUUAAUCUUGAACGAGGAAUUCCUAGUAAACGCAAGUCAUCAGCUUGCAUUGAUUACGUCCCUGCCCUUUGUACACACCGCCCGUCGCACCUACUGAUUGAAUGACUCGGUGAAGAAUUGGGACUGUGAGAACAAUUGAUUCAUUUCAAAUGUACUCGUGGGAACUUUUUUUAACCUCGCCAUUUAGAAGAAGGUGAAGUCGUAACA